GAUGAAGAACGUAGCGAAAUGCGAUAAGUAAUGUGAAUUGCAGAAUUCCGUGAAUCAUCGAAUCUUUGAACGCAUAUUGCGCCCUCUGGUAUUCCGGGGGGCAUGCCUGUCCGAGCGUCAUUGCCGCCCUCAAGCACGGCUUGUGUGUUGGGCCCCCGCCCCCCGGCUUCGGGGGGCGGGCCCGAAAGGCAGCGGCGGCACCGCGUCCGGUCCUCGAGCGUAUGGGGCUUCGUCACCCGCUCUGUAGGCCCGGCCGGCGCCCGCCGGCGACCCCAAUCAAUCUUUCCAGGUUGACCUCGGAUCAGGUAGGGAUACCCGCUGAACUUAAGCAUAUCAAUAAGCGGAGGA
This 348-nucleotide unclassified non-coding RNA is filed under the name soil metagenome. RNAcentral's name for it is "partial contains 5.8S ribosomal RNA, internal transcribed spacer 2, and large subunit ribosomal RNA". The stretch from base 1 to 120 matches the Rfam family "5.8S ribosomal RNA", at positions 35 to 154 of the family's 154-position model. The record is from RNAcentral.